This 468-nucleotide ribosomal RNA is filed under the name uncultured bacterium. RNAcentral describes it as "partial 16S ribosomal RNA". It matches the Rfam family "Bacterial small subunit ribosomal RNA", at positions 28 to 507 of the family's 1533-position model. The record is from RNAcentral.
GAUGAACGCUGGCGGCGUGCUUAACACAUGCAAGUCGAACGGAAAGGCCCUGCGUUUGUGGGGUGCUCGAGUGGCGAACGGGUGAGUGACACGUGAGUAACCUGCCCUUGUCUUUCGGAUAACUUCAGGAAACUGGGGCUAAUACCGGAUAGGAGCUCCUGCUGCAUGGUGGGGAAUGGAGAGUUUCGGCGGUUGUGGCUGGAUUGGCGGCUUAUCCGCUUGUUGGUGGGGUAGUGGCUGACCAAGGCUUUGACGGGUAGGCGGCCUGGGAGCGUGACCGGGGACAUUGGGACUGAGGUACGGCGCAGACGGCUACGGGAGGCAGCAGUGGGGAAUAUUGCACAAUGGGCGGACGCCUGAUGCAGCAGCGUCCCGUGCGGAAUGACCGCCUUCGGGUUGUAAACAGCUUUCGCCGGAGACGAAGCGUGAGUGACGGUAAUGGGUAAAGAAGCACCGGCUAACUACGUG